Mus caroli (Ryukyu mouse) is the source of this 2148-nucleotide long non-coding RNA. RefSeq lists it as uncharacterized. Lineage: Eukaryota; Metazoa; Chordata; Mammalia; Rodentia; Muridae. The record is from RefSeq and is a predicted model, not a curated record.
GGUGCCAACGAUGCCAACGGUGCCAAGGGCGCCAGAGGAGCUGACAGCCGAAGGAGGAGCGGCCGCGUUCUGCUGAGCUGCCGAGGGAUCAGGUUUGCCAGAGGAGGAGCGCGCAUGGCACUGCAUCUCCGAACUCCCCAACACCAUGGAGGUGGUUUACUGUUGGAUCUGAGCAGCCACUCACUGGGCAGCACCUUAGCUGCUGUAUUCACCGUGCUGAAGGAGGCUAUGGGCAUCCUGCCCAGAGAAGCAGGAUGUCCAGGAUUGUGCCUACCUUCAACUAGGAUGUAGUGGGAACUUGAAACCUGAGACUUCCAGACGAUGCUGGCCACCAACUGGUGCCUCACACAGAAACCCCACGGGUCCUGCCAGCACUGGACCCUUGCUCUUUCUCCUGUAGCUUUGCCUUGGCUCAAGACCCAUCUGCACCAGUUCUAUGGUCUCUGGGAGCUCCUUUGGAGGCCUGGCUGUCCCUGUGCUCUGCAAGAGCAGACAAGAUGUGGGUCUUGCUGGAUUCCAACCAGGCCUGAACUCUCUGCAUGAAGGAGGAGACUGGAGUCUCUCCAUCCAAUUUAGGAAUUCUGUGAACAAAUCAACUGGAGACAGCCUGUUUUCUCUUUGUGACCAGGAGGAGUUUCAGCAGGAAAUUCAGCCUAGUCCUGGGGGCCACAGCAUCUGACUUAAGAAUGUAGUUUCAAAGGGGAUGAUACUUUCCAAGCAUCAGUGUGUCAGACAUGAGGCUAGGGCAGAGUAAUGAGCAUGGUGAGUGUUGAGGAAAAGCUGAGAUGCCCUCCGAUAGGCAAGCCCCAAGGAAGGCUGCCUGAAGGAAGCAGCCCAUCAGUCCUACAGGCUGUGGUCAUGGAGGUGGGCAAGAGUGACAGAGGACUGGGUUUGUCUUUCAGAUUUCUGAUUUCCACAGCUAAUCGCUAUAGUAACUUAAUCCCUGAGAUAAAGCUCCUGUCCUCCAAACGUGGAAGGGAAAUGGGCAUGAGGGAAGCAGCUUGUCCUUGGAGGGAGGCUGGCUAUGUCGGAAGGAUUCAGCAAUUCUGUCUUUCUGUGGCUCCACUAACCUCCUUUCCCACUGGGUACAGCGCUUGUGCCUUCUUCCCUUGUUCCCGCGAGGCUUCCUGGCAGCAGCUUCUUCAGAACUGGAGGUCUAGGUUGACUCCAUCCCAUCCAGUUAUGUUCCCUACUGUCCUGUGGUGGAGGUGCCAGUAGGGCAGUACCAGAGCAAAGAUGGGACAUGGCACCUGUGCACAGAAACCCUCAAGGGGUUCACCUUGGGUCAAGAAAAUCAGCCAGAGAUGUCUGUUGCUGUGUAACAAACUACCCCACAAUUUAGCAGCUUAAACAUAUAGUGUUAUCUCUGGUGGUGUCCCACUCACAGGCUACAGUCUGAGUGUGCUCUGGCCAUGGUCUCUCAUGUGAAGGCCCAGCCAAGAGGAGAUGCUGUAAAGUUGACAAGAUUUCAGUUCCUUUCCGGAAAACCCACAAGGGUCUUAUUUUCUGCUUUUUGGCUGGAGGCUUCGCUGACUUUUUUUCUGCUUUUUGGCUGGAGGCCUCACUGACUUCUUUGCCUAUCCACAGUGUGUCUCCCAAUAUGACAGGUGCCCCCCCACCACCUGUUUAAGCAAGAGAGAGCAAAUGAGGAAAUGGGCUCUGUCGUCCAUUUGACUUCAUAAGAGAAAUUCUGGAAUGUUUUGUUUGAGUUGAAGGCCAUACAUACUAAAAAGAAGCAGGUCCACACUGGACUACAUACACCAGGAAAAGAAAGGUGGAGGACUACCUCAUGGGUCAUCUCCAUAGCCUGCCACGACACCAUCCAAACCCUGUUAGUGUCCUCACCUGGGAACACUACUGUGCUCAGUAUCUUGCUACCCUAGUGUGUCACUUUUUUAAACACUGAAUUGUAAUACCCUAAGAUAUACCCAGGGAGUCAGAGGUACAUUCUUGUUAGAGCUGCCGCUGGUAUCUGUUGACCCCUUUACAAGGGAGUUGAUCCCUUUGAAUUUCCCUGUGUGGCAUAAGGCAUCUAAAGCUAGGUUGCUAGGCUGUUGCUAAGACAAGAUUGGGUGCACUCACCCUCAGAGCUCCCUAAGGCUUUGAUGAAGUUGGAACUUCCCUUGUACCUGCUCUAAAGCCACCAGU